Molecule: ribosomal RNA, 588 nt
Filed under: uncultured bacterium
Lineage: Bacteria
Description: bacterial SSU rRNA
Rfam family: Bacterial small subunit ribosomal RNA
Source: RNAcentral
ACGGGUGAGUAAUGCUUAGGAAUCUGCCUAUUAGUGGGGGACAACAUUUCGAAAGGAAUGCUAAUACCGCAUACGUCCUACGGGAGAAAGCAGGGGAUCUUCGGACCUUGCGCUAAUAGAUGAGCCUAAGUCGGAUUAGCUAGUUGGUGGGGUAAAGGCCUACCAAGGCGACGAUCUGUAGCGGGUCUGAGAGGAUGAUCCGCCACACUGGGACUGAGACACGGCCCAGACUCCUACGGGAGGCAGCAGUGGGGAAUAUUGGACAAUGGGCGGAAGCCUGAUCCAGCCAUGCCGCGUGUGUGAAGAAGGCCUUAUGGUUGUAAAGCACUUUAAGCGAGGAGGAGGCUACUUUAGUUAAUACCUAGAGAUAGUGGACGUUACUCGCAGAAUAAGCACCGGCUAACUCUGUGCCAGCAGCCGCGGUAAUACAGAGGGUGCAAGCGUUAAUCGGAUUUACUGGGCGUAAAGCGCGCGUAGGCGGCUAAUUAAGUCAAAUGUGAAAUCCCCGAGCUUAACUCGGGAAUUGCAUUCGAUACUGGUUAGCUAGAGUGUGGGAGAGGAUGGUAGAAUUCCAGGUGUAGCGGUGAA